RNAcentral lists this long non-coding RNA (1307 nucleotides) under Zalophus californianus (California sea lion). Its description in RNAcentral is "lncRNA (ENSZCAG00015001522.1)". Lineage: Eukaryota; Metazoa; Chordata; Mammalia; Carnivora; Otariidae. The record is from RNAcentral.
UCUCAGGAGGCGCUGUGACGCAGUAGGGACCCAAGCCAUGGUGUGAGCGGCGUUAUGCCCGUGGCGACACCGAAGGCCCCAGGCACCAACCAGGGAACACUGGACGCCGGGUCGGCCGGCAGCCUUCCCUUACAGCCUUCCGAGGUCUCGUCACAGCACGCGAGACUUGGCCCGAGAGGCCCUCGGGGCAUGCUGGGAACUGUAGUCCAAGGUCGGGAAGGCUCCAGGACUUUACCCGCAGGAAAUAUGACAAAACAGCAAAGUUGAGGAAGUAAAAGAAGAUGAAAAAAGAAAUCUAUCCCCAUUUCUACCCCACGUCCAAAGCUUGCCAUCAAGGCUCAUCUCAGGGGGCUCUGAGGACUGAUCUCACAUUUAGAUUCUGCAUGUGACAUGUGCUGGGCCUACUGGCAGGCCCCACAGGCUUCACUCCUGCAACUUUAAACUUCGUGUGCCAUUACCAAACCUCGGUGCUUGAGCGCGCCACGAAUUCAAAUCUUUUAUGAAUUCUAGAAUUAGCUUCUGAAAAGCACAAUUACACUGCAGUGUGAUUUUUGUGUGUUAAAAGUGUUACUUUGGGGGAAAAAAGUGUUACUUUGGGGGCGCCUGCGUGGCUCAGUGGGUUAAGCAGCCGAGUCUGGAUUUGGAUCAGGUUCUGAUCUCAGGGUCGUGGGAUGGAGCAUCAUAUCUGCUCCGCCCUGAGCACAGAGUCUGCUUGUCUGUCUCCCUCUGUUCCUCCCACCCCCUUGCUGACACCUUGCCCUCCUCCACAAAAGGAUAGGCUACCCCGCACAUUUCAGUCAAGGGGGAGAAACAGGACUUUGUACCCUUAUAUAAAUGAUAAACAGCAGCUUGUUUUUAUCACCAAAUAAAACUAAAGUCUUUCCUGACUCUCUGACUAAAACAACUUUAUCUCUGACUUUAAUAGUACAAAUUUCUGAACCUAUGGCAUUAUGUUGAUCAUCAGGUAAGAAAAUUGCUGUUUCCCACAAAAAACAGACUAACCUUUUAACCUUCACGAUCUUAUGGGGUUUUCCCCUUUAAAUAGGUGUUGUAUUUUUUACUGAGGAGCAAAUUAUUUUAAAGCCUGGUGCCCCUUAGAAGGCUUCUUUGCAAGUAAACCACUUUUUGAAAGGGUCUGUUUGCAUAGCCGAGGAUUCAGUCAAAACUGAAUCCAGAAGGCCCAGGAAGGGUACGUUUUGAACUGUUUGAACUCAGGCCAUCUUUUGCAGCUCCUGGGGUGGAUUUCUUGUAGCUUUUUUUCCUUGUGCUUUUUUCUGACUCUAGUUUUGGUUCACAGCCAAGCCUGC